ACCUCAUAGAACUCAGUGUGACCCCAAGGCUCCACAUGACCCAUAUCCCUGUGAGCACCAUAACCCCGGAUGAGGCUGUGGACAGUGAUGGGUCUGUUCUGGGGUCGUUCAGUGGACGCUACAGGAUGGCUCUGGGGUCACUGUACAUCAGCUGCCUAUAACAUCUGCUGACCCCCGGCUUGCCCCCAUCUUGCUGGGCAAGCUGGGAGUCCAGGGGGCAGCGGGGGGCUAUGGAAGAGGUUCCAUGAUCAGAGCAGAUUCACCACCAGCUCUGUGUGUGGGAACAUCAACCCCACUGAGCUAUGGCUGUGUCCCUUAUCUGCCCCAUUUCAUAGCAGCCCCAGAGCCAUCCUAGAGCAGCCCAGAACAGCCCCAUCACUGCCCACGGCCCGUGGCCAGCAGCAGUUCCACCACCAGUGGUGUGUUGGGUAAAGGCAGCUCCUAGGUGUGGUUGUGCCCCAUAGCUGCCCCAAAGUGCCCCUUUGGGGUCCUCCCAUCCGUGUCCUUUGGCUGUCCCACAGCUUUGUAGGGCUUCCCCCAUCCCAGCAGGUCCCCCCAAGUGCCCGUGGGCUGUGUGAGAAACGCUCUCAUCACUGCUCUUCCAUCAGGCACAGCUCUCCCUGCAGCAGCAAAGCUCAUCUGUUAUUGCUAGGGUUCUCUGCACUCUCCCUCCUCGUGGUGAGGGACAAAACACGCAGCUGCUCACUGAGCUCCUCCUGCUCCUGUAGCUCUCCUCCCUUGGCAGUCCCUGCUCUCCUGUUCCCUCUUGGCUGGGGACUGCAGGCUCACAGUCUAGGCCACGCAUCCGCUCUGCUGUUUCUCCAGCUGCCUUGGAUUUCUUCUCCCACUGUCCCCAUUAAGGAGUUGAUUUCCUUCAGUCCAUCCCAGCUCCAUCCCUGGCUCAAGUCUCCCUCAUUGCCACGCAGCACCGCAGCACCCAAACUCCUGUCCCUUCCUCUGUCUCGGUGGGAUUGCUUUGCCACCAAACCUUGUGACAGGUGUUUCCCUGCAGAAGCAUUCAUGUCCUUCUUCUGGCCCUUUUGGACAGUUCCCAGCUCUCCAAACAGAGAAACGGCUGCAGCCCACCCCAUGUCGCCUUUGGGGCAGCUCUGGGGCAGCCCCACCCUGAGUAGUAGAUGCCUUUUCCCCACACACAGCUGGUUCUAUGGCCACAUGGGGUGAGGUCACGGGGUUGUGGGUGAUGUGGGGGUCCUGCGGGCUCACAGAGUUAUGGGAUUACAUAGGGUCAGAUGGCACUGCACAGAGUUAUGUGGUCAGAUGUGGUUAGAAGGGUUGGUAGGGUCAGGUUGGGUGAUAGGAAGUUACGGGUCUCAGA
This 1336-nucleotide long non-coding RNA is filed under the name Phasianus colchicus (ring-necked pheasant). Its description in RNAcentral is "lncRNA (ENSPCLG00000016925.1)". Lineage: Eukaryota; Metazoa; Chordata; Aves; Galliformes; Phasianidae. The record is from RNAcentral.